AGAGUUUGAUCCUGGCUCAGGAUGAACGCUGGCGGUAUGCUUAACACAUGCAAGUCGUACGAGAGUUUUUAACUCUAGUGGCGGACGGGUGAGUAACACGUGAGAAUCUGCCCUAAGGAGGGGGAUAACAGCUGGAAACGGUUGCUAAUACCCCAUAUGCCGAAAGGUGAAAGGAAAUAUCUACCUUAGGAAGAGCUCGCGCCUGAUUAGUUAGUUGGUGAGGUAAUGGCUCACCAAGACCAUGAUCAGUAGCUGGUUUGAGAGGACGAUCAGCCACACUGGGACUGAGACACGGCCCAGACUCCUACGGGAGGCAGCAGUGGGGAAUUUUCCGCAAUGGGCGAAAGCCUGACGGAGCAAUACCGCGUGAGGGAUGAAAGCCUGUGGGUUGUAAACCUCUUUUCUCAAGGAAGAAGUUCUGACGGUACUUGAGGAAUAAGCAUCGGCUAACUCUGUGCCAGCAGCCGCGGUAAUACAGAGGAUGCAAGCGUUAUCCGGAAUCACUGGGCAUAAAGCGUCUGUAGGUGGUUUGAUAAGUCUGCUGUUAAAGACUAGGGCUUAACCCUAGGAAAGCAGUGGAAACUGUUAGACUUGAGUGUGGUAGAGGUAGAGGGAAUACCUAGUGUAGCGGUGAAAUGCGUAGA
RNAcentral lists this ribosomal RNA (644 nucleotides) under uncultured bacterium. Its description in RNAcentral is "bacterial SSU rRNA". It matches the Rfam family "Bacterial small subunit ribosomal RNA", at positions 8 to 694 of the family's 1533-position model. The record is from RNAcentral.